AAAGAAAUAGCAUGUUGAUUGAGAAAGAGAUAGAAUUUACGAAUAGAAUUAGAAGAAGAUUUUUUGUGAGAGAUGAAAGUUAGCUUUUCAAUUGGUAAUCAACAAAAGUUACCAACCGAUGAAUCAUUUAUUAAAAAGAAGGAUAAUUUUAGAAAAUAAUAGGCGAAAUAGAAUACUAGAAAACAUUUUUUUUGGGUGUAACGUAUUCCCCUUCCCCUUUUGCCCUUCAAAAU
This 233-nucleotide long non-coding RNA is filed under the name Lathyrus oleraceus (garden pea). Its description in RNAcentral is "Pisum sativum (pea) long non-coding RNA (PSAT_LNC034633)". The record is from RNAcentral. Lineage: Eukaryota; Viridiplantae; Streptophyta; Magnoliopsida; Fabales; Fabaceae.